ACUCCUACGGGAGGCAGCAGUGGGGAAUAUUGCACAAUGGGCGCAAGCCUGAUGCAGCCAUGCCGCGUGUUAAGAAGGCCUUCGGGUUGUAAAGUACUUUCAGUCGUGAGGAAGGUAGUGUAGUUAAUAGCUGCAUUAUUUGACGUUAGCUNAGAAGAAGCACCGGCUAACUCCGUGCCAGCAGCCGCGGUAAUACGGAGGGUGCGAGCGUUAAUCGGAAUUACUGGGCGUAAAGCGCAUGCAGGUGGUUUGUUAAGUCAGAUGUGAAAGCCCGGGGCUCAACCUCGG
This 288-nucleotide ribosomal RNA is filed under the name uncultured bacterium. RNAcentral's name for it is "partial 16S ribosomal RNA". It matches the Rfam family "Bacterial small subunit ribosomal RNA", at positions 335 to 618 of the family's 1533-position model. The record is from RNAcentral.